UUCGCUUCUUGGCCUUUUGGCAAGAUCACGUGUAAUAUCUGUUCUUAUCAGUUUAAUANCUGAUUUGUCCUCUAUUUGAGGACUCUAUAUUAGAUGGAUAANUUUUUUUUAAAAGGAUCUACACGAACACCUUUACUACACCUGUC
This 146-nucleotide small nuclear RNA is filed under the name Salvator merianae (Argentine black and white tegu). RNAcentral describes it as "U2 spliceosomal RNA (ENSSMRG00000012345.1)". It matches the Rfam family "U2 spliceosomal RNA". From Rfam's summary of the family: U2 is a small nuclear RNA (snRNA) component of the spliceosome (involved in pre-mRNA splicing). Lineage: Eukaryota; Metazoa; Chordata; Lepidosauria; Squamata; Teiidae. The record is from RNAcentral.